AUAAGGGCUGGGCAAGACCGGUGCCAGCCGCCGCGGUAAUACCGGCAGCCCAAGUGAUGGCCGAUCUUAUUGGGCCUAAAGCGUCCGUAGCUGGCCGCACAAGUCCAUCGGGAAAUCCACCUGCCCCAACAGGUGGACGCCCGGUGGAAACUGUGUGGCUUGGGACCGGAAGGCGCGACGGGUACGUCCGGGGUAGGAGUGAAAUCCCGUAAUCCUGGACGGACCGCCGAUGGCGAAAGCACGUCGCGAAAACGGAUCCGACAGUGAGGGACGAAAGCCAGGGUCUCGAACCGGAUUAGAUACCCGGGUAGUCCUGGCCGUAAACAAUGUCUGUUAGGUGUGGCUCCCACUACGAGUGGGUGCUGUGCCGUAGGGAAGCCGCUAAACAGACCGCCUGGGAAGUACGUCCGCAAGGAUGAAACUUAAAGGAAUUGGCGGGGGAGCACUACAACCGGAGGAGCCUGCGGUUUAAUUGGACUCAACGCCGGACAUCUCACCAGCAUCGACUGUGAUAAUGACGACCAGGUUGAUGACCUUGUCCGAGUCUCAGAGAGGAGGUGCAUGGCCGCCGUCAGCUCGUACCGUGAGGCGUCCUGUUAAGUCAGGCAACGAGCGAGACCCGCAUCCCUACUUGCCAGCAGUACUUCACAGUAGCUGGGGACAGUACGGAGACCGCCGUGGCCAACACGGAGGAAGGAACGGGCAACGGUAGGUCAGUAUGCCCCGAAUGUGCUGGGCAACACGCGGGCUACAAUGGUCAGGACAAAGGGUUCCAACUCCGAAAGGAGACGGUAAUCUCAGAAACCUGAUCGUAGUUCGGAUUGUGGGCUGCAACUCGCCCACAUGAAGCUGGAUUCGGUAGUAAUCGCGUGUCACAAGCGCGCGGUGAAUACGUCCCUGCUCCUUGCACACACCGCCCGUCAAAGCACCCGAGUGAGGUCCGGAUGAGGC
Molecule: ribosomal RNA, 951 nt
Filed under: Halorubrum sp. LV_13B58
Lineage: Archaea; Methanobacteriati; Methanobacteriota; Halobacteria; Halobacteriales; Haloferacaceae
Description: bacterial SSU rRNA
Rfam family: Archaeal small subunit ribosomal RNA
Source: RNAcentral